Molecule: ribosomal RNA, 200 nt
Filed under: uncultured bacterium
Lineage: Bacteria
Description: partial 16S ribosomal RNA
Rfam family: Bacterial small subunit ribosomal RNA
Source: RNAcentral
AGAGUUUGAUCCUGGCUCAGGACGAACGCUGGCGGCGUGCCUAAUACAUGCAAGUCGAGCGGAUCUUCUCCUUCGGGAGAAGGUUAGCGGCGGACGGGUGAGUAACACGUAGGCAACCUGCCCCUUAGAUCGGGAUAACAUUCGGAAACGAAUGCUAAGACCGGAUACAUCAUCUUGCCGCAUGGCGGGAUGAGGAAACA